This 489-nucleotide ribosomal RNA is filed under the name Pectobacterium sp. Its description in RNAcentral is "bacterial SSU rRNA". It matches the Rfam family "Bacterial small subunit ribosomal RNA", at positions 557 to 1042 of the family's 1533-position model. Lineage: Bacteria; Pseudomonadati; Pseudomonadota; Gammaproteobacteria; Enterobacterales; Pectobacteriaceae. The record is from RNAcentral.
GGCGUAAAGCGCACGCAGGCGGGGUCUGUUAAAGUUGGAUGUGAAAUCCCCGGGCUUAACCUGGGAACUGCAUUCAAACUGACAGGCUAGAGUCUUGUAGAGGGGGGUAGAAUUCCAGGUGUAGCGGUGAAAUGCGUAGAGAUCUGGAGGAAUACCGGUGGCGAAGGCGGCCCCCUGGACAAGACUGACGCUCAGGUGCGAAAGCGUGGGGAGCAAACAGGAUUAGAUACCCUGGUAGUCCACGCUGUAAACGAUGUCGAUUUGGAGGUUGUGCCCUUGAGGCGUGGCUUCCGGAGCUAACGCGUUAAAUCGACCGCCUGGGGAGUACGGCCGCAAAGGAUAGGACUCAAAUGAAUUGACAGGGGCCCGCACAAGCGGUGGAGCAUGUGGUUUAAUUCAUGCACUGCGAAGAUCCUUACCUGCUCUUGACAUCCACUGGUAUUCUGGAGAGAUACCUUUGUGCCAUCGGGAACUGUGGGGACUGGUGCU